RNAcentral lists this ribosomal RNA (873 nucleotides) under Plasmodium sp. type B. RNAcentral's name for it is "SSU rRNA". It matches the Rfam family "Eukaryotic small subunit ribosomal RNA", at positions 132 to 925 of the family's 1831-position model. The record is from RNAcentral. Lineage: Eukaryota; Apicomplexa; Aconoidasida; Haemosporida; Plasmodiidae.
UUUUUAUAAGGAUAACUACGGAAAAGCUGUAGCUAAUACUUGAACGAUUGUUCUUCAGUUCCCCAAAAAGGUUCUGUAGAACACGUAUUUGUUAAGCCUAAUAAGAAAAAAGUUAUUAACUUAAGGAAUUAUAACAAAGAAGGAACACAUAAUAAAACUUUGUUUUAUUUAGUGUGUAUCAAUCGAGUUUCUGACCUAUCAGCUUUUGAUGUUAGGGUAUUGGCCUAACAUGGCUAUGACGGGUAACGGGGAAUUAGAGUUCGAUUCCGGAGAGGGAGCCUGAGAAAUAGCUACCACAUCUAAGGAAGGCAGCAGGCGCGUAAAUUACCCAAUUCUAAAGAAGAGAGGUAGUGACAAGAAAUAACAAGGUAAGGUCAAAUUUUGGCUUUGCCAUUGGAAUGAUAGGAAUUUAAAAACUUCCUAAAGUAACAAUUGGAGGGCAAGUCUGGUGCCAGCAGCCGCGGUAAUUCCAGCUCCAAUAGCGUAUAUUAAAAUUGUUGCAGUUAAAACGCUCGUAGUUGAAUUUCAAAGAAUCAAUUUUUAAGGUAAUGCUUUAUCGGAUACGUGUUAAAUGGUGCUUCGGCGCGUAUUUUUCACAAUUCUGAUAUUAUGUAUUCCUUAAAAUAAAAUAGGUUCUUUUUAAAAAUUCUUCGUUGCUUUAUGUGAUGAGAAUUUUUGUUACUUUGAGUAAAUUAGAGUGUUCAAAGCAAACAGUUUAAAACAGCUAAAACUGUGUUUGAAUACUACAGCAUGGAAUAACAAAAUUGAACAAGCUAAAAUUUUUGUUCUUUUUUCUUAUUUUGGCUUAGUUACGAUUAAUAGGAGUAGUUUGGGGACAUUCGUAUUCAGAUGUCAGAGGUGAAAUUCUUAGAU